Molecule: long non-coding RNA, 725 nt
Filed under: Hordeum vulgare
Lineage: Eukaryota; Viridiplantae; Streptophyta; Magnoliopsida; Poales; Poaceae
Description: long non-coding RNA (HVUL_LNC003204)
Source: RNAcentral
UGCAAAUGUUGCAACCUAACAUUAUCGUUCAACCUUCCUUUCUGAAAAAUAAAAUUAUCAACGACAAAGCAGGUGUGCAUGUGCCCUCUCUCCUCUUCUAUCUUCUUUGGGUAACAUACUGCAGUGCCGGAUGGGCACAUCACUCACUAAUCCCUGGUUCUGGAAGCCACAUGCACUUUUCUUUUUCUGGGCACCAUGUGAUGGAUGCGUCAACUUUGCCCCCCUGAUCCGAUCAUCCGGGCAUCCAUCCAUCUGACUUCACCUUGGAAAUCUGGUAGGUUCCAUGGCUACCUGCCCUGGUGCUGCACACGACGAUGCUAAGCUGGAAUUGGAAAAUUUCGAACCGUUGGGAUGGAACAUUCCAUUGAAAAUUUAGCCGGGAGAGGGAACUUCUGGAGGAAAGAGAAUUCUUAAACGGAGGAGAUGCACAGCAUGGUUGCCAUGUUCCGCGGGAUGAUGCUUCGAGAGAUAUCUAUUGAGGAUAUGCUAGUAUACACUGUGGCUGUCAGGCUCGGGCACCGAACUCCCAGCGAUGAACAACCGGGAGAUGUAGAUGCCGGUGAAUAUUCGGAAGUGGAAGGCCUGCGUCACUCUGGUUCUGGUUCAACUGUUGCCUGCGAAGAAGCAAUCAAAUGCGCCGGCCUGAUUGAUUCUGAAUCGCAUAGAAAUAGACGAACACGCAGCAGUAGUGGCAAUCAUCAUUGCUCAAGUUCGGUGUCAUGCUG